Molecule: ribosomal RNA, 1427 nt
Filed under: Salegentibacter sp.
Lineage: Bacteria; Pseudomonadati; Bacteroidota; Flavobacteriia; Flavobacteriales; Flavobacteriaceae
Description: bacterial SSU rRNA
Rfam family: Bacterial small subunit ribosomal RNA
Source: RNAcentral
AAGUUCGGCAGCUACCAUGCAGUCGAGGGGUAACAUAGAAAAGCUUGCUUUUCUGAUGACGACCGGCGCACGGGUGCGUAACGCGUAUACAACCUACCUUUUAGCGGGGAAUAGCCCAGGGAAACUUGGAUUAAUGCCCCAUAGUAUAUAGACUUCUCCUGAAGUUUAUAUUAAACAUUUAUGGCUAUUAGAUGGGUAUGCGUCCUAUUAGUUAGUUGGUAAGGUAACGGCUUACCAAGGCAGCGAUAGGUAGGGGUCCUGAGAGGGAGAUCCCCCACACUGGUACUGAGACACGGACCAGACUCCUACGGGAGGCAGCAGUGAGGAAUAUUGGACAAUGGGCGAGAGCCUGAUCCAGCCAUGCCGCGUGCAGGAAGACUGCCCUAUGGGUUGUAAACUGCUUUUACAGAGGAAGAACCACCCCCACGUGUGGGGGUUUGACGGUACUCUGCGAAUAAGGAUCGGCUAACUCCGUGCCAGCAGCCGCGGUAAUACGGAGGAUCCAAGCGUUAUCCGGAAUCAUUGGGUUUAAAGGGUCCGUAGGCGGGCAGUUAAGUCAGUGGUGAAAGUCUUCCGCUCAACGGGAGAACUGCCAUUGAUACUGAUUGUCUUGAGUUAUUAUGAAGUGGUUAGAAUGAGUAGUGUAGCGGUGAAAUGCAUAGAUAUUACUCAGAAUACCGAUUGCGAAGGCAGAUCACUAAUAAUAUACUGACGCUGAUGGACGAAAGCGUAGGUAGCGAACAGGAUUAGAUACCCUGGUAGUCUACGCCGUAAACGAUGGUUACUAGCUGUUCGGCCCAAUUGAGGGCUGAGUGGUUAAGCGAAAGUGAUAAGUAACCCACCUGGGGAGUACGUUCGCAAGAAUGAAACUCAAAGGAAUUGACGGGGGCCCGCACAAGCGGUGGAGCAUGUGGUUUAAUUCGAUGAUACGCGAGGAACCUUACCAGGGCUUAAAUGUAGUCUGACAGGUCUGGAAACAGACUUUUCUUCGGACAGAUUACAAGGUGCUGCAUGGUUGUCGUCAGCUCGUGCCGUGAGGUGUCAGGUUAAGUCCUAUAACGAGCGCAACCCCUGUGGUUAGUUGCCAGCGAGUAAUGUCGGGAACUCUAGCCAGACUGCCGGUGCAAACCGCGAGGAAGGUGGGGAUGACGUCAAAUCAUCACGGCCCUUACGUCCUGGGCCACACACGUGCUACAAUGGUAGGGACAGAGAGCAGCCACUUCGCGAGAAGGAGCGAAUCUACAAACCCUAUCACAGUUCGGAUCGCAGUCUGCAACUCGACUGCGUGAAGCUGGAAUCGCUAGUAAUCGCAUAUCAGCCAUGAUGCGGUGAAUACGUUCCCGGGCCUUGUACACACCGCCCGUCAAGCCAUGGAAGCCGGGGGUACCUGAAGUCGGUCACCGCAAGGAGCCGCCUAGGUAAACUAU